This 329-nucleotide unclassified non-coding RNA is filed under the name soil metagenome. RNAcentral's name for it is "partial contains 5.8S ribosomal RNA, internal transcribed spacer 2, and large subunit ribosomal RNA". The stretch from base 1 to 120 matches the Rfam family "5.8S ribosomal RNA", at positions 35 to 154 of the family's 154-position model. The record is from RNAcentral.
GAUGAAGAACGCAGCGAAAUGCGAUAAGUAAUGUGAAUUGCAGAAUUCAGUGAAUCAUCGAAUCUUUGAACGCACAUUGCGCCCCCUGGUAUUCCGGGGGGCAUGCCUGUCCGAGCGUCAUUACAACCCUCAAGCUCUGCUUGGUGUUGGGCCCCGCCGCCCCGGCGGGCCCUAAAGUCAGUGGCGGUGCCAUCCGGCUCCGAGCGUAGUAAUUCUUCUCGCUCUGGAGGUCCGGUUGUGUGCUUGCCAUCAACCCCCAAUUUUUUUCAGGUUGACCUCGGAUCAGGUAGGGAUACCCGCUGAACUUAAGCAUAUCAAUAAGCGGAGGG